UUUUCAGCAGCCGCGGUAAGACGAAGGUGGCUAGCGUUAUUCGGAUUUACUGGGCAUAAAGCGCGCGUAGGCGGCUUGACAAGUCGGAGGUGAAAGCCUGCAGCUCAACUGCGGUGUGCCUCCGAAACUGUCGAGCUUGAGUGCAGGAGGGGUAAUUGGAACUCCAGGUGUAGCGGUGAAAUGCGUAGAUAUCUGGAGGAACACCAGAGGCGAAGGCGAAUUACUGGACUGCAACUGACGCUGAGGCGCGAAAGCUAGGGGAGCAAACAGGAUUAGAAACCCCCGUAGUCC
RNAcentral lists this ribosomal RNA (291 nucleotides) under uncultured bacterium. RNAcentral describes it as "partial 16S ribosomal RNA". It matches the Rfam family "Bacterial small subunit ribosomal RNA", at positions 505 to 796 of the family's 1533-position model. The record is from RNAcentral.